This is a long non-coding RNA of Oreochromis aureus, 591 nucleotides long. The record is from Ensembl. Lineage: Eukaryota; Metazoa; Chordata; Actinopteri; Cichliformes; Cichlidae.
AAACAGAACAGAAGUAGAAUAGGGCUGGCUGGCUGGACGACUGACUGAAUGGCUAGCUGACUGAACGCAGGCGGAAACGACAACAUAACAUCAAUGACACGACAGUGAACGAGUGGAAACAGAGGACUUAAAUACACAGACUGAUGAGGAUGAUAAUGAGAGACCGUAGAGUGAUCACCGAGACAACCAGAGAAGUGAAGAGUCCCUUUAAACCUGGAGGAGAGGAGCACCAGGGACAGAGCCAAGGUCACCACAGAGAACGGGAUGCUUUCAUAUUCCCGUCCUGGGAGGUUGUACGGGAUGACGAUGCGGUUCCUUCCUGGUGGGCCGUGUUUAGCUGAGAGAGACUCAAAGUGUUCCCACACUCCAUCAUCAUCUCGAAGAGGGCUAACCGUGAUGUUUGGGACCAUCUGUGCUCCAGCUUUCUUCAUAAAAAACUCUGUGCUGAGGCCUCAGUUUUCCUGUAGCGACACCGUACACUAAACCAGAAGUGAUGCAGUUCCAGGGAGAAUACAGGAGCACGUCAGUGAUGGUGGGCAGAGGCAGCGUGCUUGUGUCCCCACUGCCAACCAGUUGCAGCAGAUGGCCCCG